UAAUGGUCAGACGUUGUCAUUUUGGCUUAUUUGUAUACUUUUACUCAAUUCCCAAUCUCAGUCUUCUCUCUAGAACAUCCCACAAAUGCCUCUCUCUCGGUACAAUCACUCUGUCCUCCACCGGAGGCCUCUCUCUCUACCAGCACUCUUCUAGUACGUUUUCCCUCAUAGUCCGUAGGACACGUCCCUUUCUCUCUCUAAUCACUCUUCCCUCAAGCUCAACAGAUCGUCCGGUUUGAUCAUAUGCAUCAGAUCUGUUUUCUUUUAGGGUAAACUUUGGCGGAUGAAGCUUGGGAGAAAAUACAAUUAAAGUUGCUCUCAGUUUCUUUCAUAUUCCAUUUUGCUCUCUCCUUGGAAAUCGAUUAACAGGUUCAAUCCCAAAGAAUUUAGAAACAUAACCAGACUCAAAAGCUUAGUCCUCGGGGACAAUCAGCUUUCUGGAGGUAUUCCUCUAGAGCUUGGGAAUCUUCCCAGGUUGGAGAAAAUACUUCUAAGCUCAAAUUAUUUUACUAGGGAGUUGUCGGGAACACUUGCAAAUCUGACCACUUUGAAGGACUUUAGGAUUAGCAACAACUUUAAAGGAAAGAUACCCAAUUUCAUCCAAAACUGGACAAAACUCCAAAACUUGUAAGAUUUUUACUUUACUUGUUUUGAUAUUUCAAUUUUUCUUUGGAAGAUGUUCUCUGUUUAACCAUUCAUUUAAACAAAAUUAUGACAGGAUGAUUUAGGCUAGUGGUUUGGAUGGGCCAAUUCCUUCUGGAAUUUCUCUCUUGGAAAAUUUGUCUGACUUGUUAGUAAAUUCUUAUAAUCUCAUAGCUUUACCCUUUUAUAUAAGAAAAUAUCUAAUUUAUGUUUAUUCUUUGAUAAAUAAAAACAAAUGCAGGAGAUUCAGUGACUUGAGUGGAAGUGAAACAACUUUUCCACCUCUUAGUAAUAUGAAAAACCUGAAGACACUGAUAUUAAGGAGUUGCAAUAUUAUGGGACAGAUACCUGAUUAUCUUGGAACAAUGACAAAUUUGAAAACCUUAUUAGUUCUUUUCCAUUCUCCAUUUUCAUGUCUCUCAUUUUCUUAAAAAGCGUUUUGAUCACAUACUUAUCUCUUGUUUAAUAGCUCAAAAGCUGACUAAAACUGUAGUAGAAUUUAAAUAUAUAUUCUCUAUAUUUUUGUUGUCUUCCUUGUGUUAUUGAACAUAUAGGCACCUUUAAAACAAUUCAGUGAUGUUAUAUAGUAUUAUUAAAUGAAAUGUUUCCUAUUAUAUAUGUGCUUUAGUUUGAUGAACUUUUGGCACAAUAAAAAAUAAUAUGGCAAGUGGACUUGUGUAUUUAUUAAAUAAGUUUAAGUUUACUCAACUAUCUUUAUUCUUUAAUUUUACAUAUUUAAGUAAAACUCUUAGUACUUCUUUCCAGAAAAAGAGUUGUUUGUACUUUCGUCUACUUGACAAUUGCUUCAAUAUUAGACAAUACAAAGUUAUCUUGGAGCCUUCAUUUAUAUUUUUCUUUGUUGGUCCCUUCGGCUCUUAAUGUUUAAGUUUUGUUUAUAUUUCACUUAAAUUUGAUCUUGUUCCAUGUUUUUUUAAAAAAAAAUUGGAUCAAAAUUUAUUGCUUCGAUGAGUCACAUUAUUGGCAAUUUUUGGAGUACCAGCAUUUCUACAAUUUACCUUGUGAAAUUUUUUAUAUAAUCCAGAUGUUUGAUUCAUCUUUAUGUGUAUCUUAUCUUUCUUCUCAAUGAGACCAGAUUUAUAUAGCAUCAUUCUCCAUUGGAAUGGUAGUAGUUCCUCAUUUUUAAGUACUUCUCAUUAGAAUGGUAGCAGUUGCUCAUUUUAAAGUAAUUCUUUGUACCCUUUGACUAUGGAUCUAACAAUGUCUACUUUCUCUCUCUACACAACUAUUCAAUUUGUAAUGAGACUAUAUUGGUCUUUGCUCGUCAAGCACCAAAGCACAAGGACAAGGACAGAUGUUUUUAUUCCUCAAGUGAAUGAGAUUGCUUAUUGAAAGAGACAAAGUGGAUUUUGAGGCAAGAUCCCUAUGUUUGCAUAUAUUUCUUCUCUCCCCCUUUUUCUCUCUCUAUAUAUGUAUAUUUAGAUCUAUAUUGUGUUGUUUCUUGAAUUUUUCUACUAGUUAAUUCUUAUACACAACUAUUCAAUUUGAUUUGGUUUUUAAAAAAUAAUUGGAGGCAACAAUCCUACAUUUAAAGAGAAAUUCAUGUUUACUCUGAUUUGAGGGCUUGGAGAGUUGAAUAUUGUGAUCUGGAAUAGCAAUAUUAUCUCUGUGGUGUUUUGCUACUUCUAGGGUCCAAUCACAAAAUGUCCUUUUUCAAGGCUACGAUGACAACCUUCACCACUUCAGACUGACAGAUAUAUGUUCUCGACUAAAGAUCAUUACUUCAUGAUUAACUCAGGUCUGGUGAAUUUUGAUUACUUCUGUUAAAUUCAUAAGAUCCUAAAUUGAAUGAAUGAUGAGGUUGUGUUUAUUUGUAAAUCAAUUGGGGGACUUUAUCUUAAUUUGGUUAUUUUCCAGCUGUAAAAAUGGAUUGUUGCAGUUCUUUUCAUGGUUCUUGUCUACGCCAGCGAGUCAAUAAGGAUCUACCUAUUUAGAAAUAUACUUAUGUCGUCUUUAACAAUUUUGAUGUAAAAGGACACAACAGGUUUCAUUAUUACAUUAUAUAUUGAGGAUGGUUUGGUCAAUUAUCUCUGGAAGAUUACAAAAUUAUCACUUACUGCAAUUAGUUGGGGUGGAGGCUUUUUUUUAUAGUUAAUUUAAGUGUCAUUUAUUGUAUUUCUAAUUCAUGUUUACAAUGUCAAUUAGUGAAGUAUGAGCCAUCUUCUAGCAGUGUUCUUGGACCCAAUGUUAUUUACAACUCCAAGAAUCAAGGUGAUUCAGGUUCCCGUGGACAGUUGCAUAUGUUGUCUACAUCAAUUCUUCUACCUGAGUGACCUGAUCAACCUGAAUGCCGAUAUUUCAUUGGCACUGGGAGAUGCAAAUAUGGGUUUGAUUGCAAGUAUAAUCAUCUUAUGAAGGGAAGCUCAGUUGUUCAUCUUUCAGCGGCAGUCAGCACCACUACCACAACCACCUGAAUGACCAAUAUGAUUGUCUUCUCUUUAGUCAAUUGAAUAUUAAAGACAUUUGAGCAUUCUAGCUUAAUAUUUAGUUAAUAUCGCGUAAUCUUUUUGGUUAAUGGAUUAUUUGAGUUGGUAUGUUUUGUUGAAUAUUUGGCUAAUUAUACUGUGUUGUAAACAUUUUAUUAUGAUAAUUAAUGGUUUAUUUCCGUC
Molecule: long non-coding RNA, 3269 nt
Organism: Cornus florida
Lineage: Eukaryota; Viridiplantae; Streptophyta; Magnoliopsida; Cornales; Cornaceae
Exons: 7
Source: RefSeq, a predicted model, not a curated record